UUUCCGUAGGUGAACCUGCGGAAGGAUCAUUCAUAAUAAGUGUUUUAUGGCACUUUUUUAAAUCCAUAUCCACCUUGUGUGCAAUGUCAGGGUUGGUCUCUUUUGAUCGGCCCCAAACAUCAACUAUUAUCUCAACUCUUUGUCUGAAAAAUAUUAUGAAUAAAACAAUUCAAAAUACAACUUUCAACAACGGAUCUCUUGGCUCUC
This 207-nucleotide unclassified non-coding RNA is filed under the name plant metagenome. RNAcentral's name for it is "partial contains small subunit ribosomal RNA, internal transcribed spacer 1, and 5.8S ribosomal RNA". The record is from RNAcentral.